CCUCCCGUCAGGUCUCCUGGUCCAGCCCCGCCCGCGCCUCCUGCUUCCAGCGAACCUGUUCCCUCCCCCCACAUCCCCCGCCCUCCAUCUCCCCCGGCUCUGGGACCCUUCCCGCCGACCUCACCCCCACCCCCGGGAUGGAGCGGCUCGAACCCGCCCGGAGCCCCCCGCGGCCGGGGUGACGGUCCCCCCACCCCUCUCCUGCCCGGCCCCCGCCUCGAGCACCAUGGGCCUGAGGGGUUCCCGGGGCGCCAGACGCUGAAGAUGACCGAUGCCGGAGCUCUCUUGAGUCAUGGCUUCUUCAAAGCUCCGAGAACCCGUGGAUGAAGUUUUUGACCUGGACUUGGCUGUGCCAGAGACGGCCAGACUGGACAGCAGUUUACACAAGGCCCGGGCCCAACUGUUGGCCAAGGGCCGGAGACACCGGCCGUCCCGCUCCAGGCUUCGGGACAGUGCCAGCUCCGCGGAGGAUGGUGAAGGCUCGGAUGGGCCCGGAGGCAAGGUUGGGGCAAGUUAGGAAAACACACAUACACCCUCCCACCACUCCCUCUCCUCCCACCCCUGGAUAAUCUCUCCAGAGUGCUCUUCCAGGGAAACCACAUACCCAGAC
This 610-nucleotide small RNA is filed under the name Pan troglodytes (chimpanzee). RNAcentral's name for it is "retained intron". The record is from RNAcentral. Lineage: Eukaryota; Metazoa; Chordata; Mammalia; Primates; Hominidae.